Molecule: non-coding RNA, 1374 nt
Organism: Cicer arietinum (chickpea)
Lineage: Eukaryota; Viridiplantae; Streptophyta; Magnoliopsida; Fabales; Fabaceae
Source: RefSeq, a predicted model, not a curated record
GAAAGUAUGCUUAUCCUUUUUUCCCUACUCAACGAUGAAUGUUCCAUGUCAUUAGAACAACCUUGCGAAAUCAUAUUCAACAAACCCUUUUCUACCUAUCUUGUCUCUCAAAGUGUGAAUGUCUGCAACCUGAUUUGGUUAAACUCAUUGUUGUCUUUAUUUUGCAGUUGAAAAAGAAUUUGGAGUUUGUUGUUUGUUGUUUUUCUCUUUGGAUUUUGCUGUCAAAAUAUUAGGUUUGGUACCAAUUGCACUCUAAUAUGCCCAUUUGAUUCAAUUUCAUUUCUUUUGCUUAAGGUACUGUGAUGGAUUGAUUAAAUUAAAGCAGUAUCUUGAUCAAUUUACACAUAAAACAAUUUUAAGUUUAAUCUUCGCACAAAUUUCGUAUAAAAAAUUGGUAAUUAUCUAUCUCUUGUUGGUAACAGUUAUCAACUUAUCAUCAAAGCUAACUAAUGACAAUUUUCAUUUAAAAAUUAUGUAUGUUAUUUGAAAUGACUAAUGGUUAAUGCGAUUUCAGAUCACAAAUUCUAGCUGUUGCUGCUAGCUACUUAAUAGCAUUGUUGGGAUUAUUACCAGUCAAGACUUUGAGGUUUAUUGUCGGAAAAUCCCUUGGGAAGUCAUGGUCUGCCAAUGCAGUUGAGGCUGCAUGCUCUCACUUGUCACAAGUUAGCUUUACUGUUGAAAGAAGGGCUUCGAUGUUAGGUCACAAUAAGCAUAAACUGACCGGGGGAACUAUUGCUGAGACUAGGGCAGCAACCACCAACUGGGGACACCAGCCAAGUAAACAAGAAGCUGAGAAAAUGAUGAGAGAAUCCACCUUGGAUAGACUUUCUUCUUUAAUCAGAAAUCAUGAGAAGAAACUAGCUCUGGCAAAAGCAAGGUUCAAGAAGGCUGAGAAGGAUUUGGCGAAAAUAUAGGGUGAUUUGGAACCAGCAGACCUUCCAUCUUAUUUGGAGACAUUAACUAAUGAAGAGAGAUUUUUGUUUAGGAAGAUUGGUCUGAGUAUGAAGCCAUAUUUACUUCUAGGUUACAAGACCCAAAAGCUUGUUGACACGAAGACAAGCAUUGGCUCGGUCUAUUGAGCUUCAAAGACGAGAGGCACUGAAAUAUCAUAUCUCAUAUUUAUAGGAGAUGAUUGAGUUGCUCAAAUCUGAGCUACAUUUUGGACUAUGAUGUGCUUAACUUGGAAGUGCCAACACUUCCUAUUGUUGGAUCAUUGAUAAAAUCUGGAGUUAGAGCUCUAAUUUACAGGUCAACCGCGUCGACACUUACUAACAACUGGAUGGAGUACUUUGUGACUUCCAAAAGAUUAGUUGCUGGAGAUACUUUUGUGUUUCUGAGAGGAAACAAUGGAGAAUUACGCGUUGUAGUGAGGCA